AUACGGAGGGGGUUAGCGUUGGUCGGAAUUACUGGGCGUAAAGCGCACGUAGGCGGAUUGGAAAGUUGGGGGUGAAAUCCCAGGGCUCAACCCUGGAACUGCCUCCAAAACUAACAGUCUAGAGUUCGAGAGAGGUGAGUGGAAUUCCAAGUGUAGAGGUGAAAUUCGUAGAUAUUUGGAGGAACACCAGUGGCGAAGGCGGCUCACUGGCUCGAUACUGACGCUGAGGUGCGAAAGCGUGGGGAGCAAACAGGAUUAGAGACCCUAGUAGUCC
This 274-nucleotide ribosomal RNA is filed under the name uncultured bacterium. RNAcentral describes it as "partial 16S ribosomal RNA". It matches the Rfam family "Bacterial small subunit ribosomal RNA", at positions 523 to 796 of the family's 1533-position model. The record is from RNAcentral.